RNAcentral lists this ribosomal RNA (468 nucleotides) under uncultured bacterium. Its description in RNAcentral is "partial 16S ribosomal RNA". It matches the Rfam family "Bacterial small subunit ribosomal RNA", at positions 28 to 507 of the family's 1533-position model. The record is from RNAcentral.
GACGAACGCUGGCGGCGUGCUUAACACAUGCAAGUCGAACGGAAAGGCCCUGCUUUUGUGGGGUGCUCGAGUGGCGAACGGGUGAGUAACACGUGAGUCACCUGCCCUUGACUUUGGGAUAACUUCAGGAAACUGGGGCUAAUACCGGAUAGGAGCUCCUGCUGCAUGGUGGGGGUUGGAAAGUUUCGGCGGUUGGGGAUGGACUCGCGGCUUAUCAGCUUGUUGGUGGGGUAGUGGCUUACCAAGGCUUUGACGGGUAGCCGGCCUGAGAGGGUGACCGGCCACAUUGGGACUGAGAUACGGCCCAGACUCCUACGGGAGGCAGCAGUGGGGAAUAUUGCACAAUGGGCGGAAGCCUGAUGCAGCAACGCCGCGUGCGGGAUGACGGCCUUCGGGUUGUAAACCGCUUUCGCCUGUGACGAAGCGUGAGUGACGGUAAUGUGUAAAGAAGCACCGGCUAACUACGUG